GGUCCGUUGGUGUAACGGUUAACACUACCUAUUCUGGCGUAUUGUCGUGAUUGCACAGCCGCGGCCGUACGGUAGCGUGGAAGUUACCGGUUCGAAUCCGGUACGGGCCA
This 110-nucleotide transfer RNA is filed under the name Neurospora sublineolata FGSC 5508. RNAcentral's name for it is "tRNA-Und (NNN) (tRNA-Und-NNN-8-1)". It matches the Rfam family "tRNA". From Rfam's summary of the family: Transfer RNA (tRNA) molecules are approximately 80 nucleotides in length. The record is from RNAcentral. Lineage: Eukaryota; Fungi; Ascomycota; Sordariomycetes; Sordariales; Sordariaceae.